UGGGGAAUCUUCCGCAAUGGACGAAAGUCUGACGGAGCAACGCCGCGUGAGUGAAGAAGGUUUUCGGAUCGUAAAGCUCUGUCUUUUGGGGCGAACGUGAGUAUGGUGAACAAUCAUAGUCAGUGACGGUACCAAAGGAGGAAGCCACGGCUAACUACGUGCCAGCAGCCGCGGUAAUACGUAGGUGGCAAGCGUUGUCCGGAAUUAUUGGGCGUAAAGAGCGCGUAGGCGGGAUAGUCAGUCUGUUGUAAAGUGCGGGGCUCAACCCCGUGAUGGCAAUGGAAACAGCUAUUCUUGAGUGCAGGAGAGGAAAGUGGAAUUCCCAGUGUAGCGGUGAAAUGCGUAGAUAUUGGGAGGAACACCAGUGGCGAAGGCGACUUUCUGGACUGUGUCUGACGCUGAGGCGCGAAAGCCAGGGGAGCGAACGGGAUUAGAUACCCCGGUAGUCCUGGCCGUAAACGAUGGGUACUAGGUGUGGGAGGUAUCGACCCCUUCCGUGCCGGAGUUAACGCAAUAAGUACCCCGCCUGGGGAGUACGGUCGCAAGACUGAAACUCAAAUGAAUUGACGGGGUCAUAGCUGUUUCCUG
This 588-nucleotide ribosomal RNA is filed under the name uncultured bacterium. RNAcentral's name for it is "partial 16S ribosomal RNA". It matches the Rfam family "Bacterial small subunit ribosomal RNA", at positions 355 to 1376 of the family's 1533-position model. The record is from RNAcentral.